CGUGCACUGGUGGGGUCCCUCAGCCUGGCCUGCGCCCUCUCGCAAUCCAGGACCCCUCAGGGGAUGUCAGAGAGCCAGUUUCCACCCAAUCCCCGCAGGCCAGGCUGAGGGGCUCCACCAGUGCAUG
This 127-nucleotide microRNA precursor is filed under the name Myotis brandtii (Brandt's bat). Its description in RNAcentral is "mir-9193 microRNA precursor family". It matches the Rfam family "mir-9193 microRNA precursor family". Lineage: Eukaryota; Metazoa; Chordata; Mammalia; Chiroptera; Vespertilionidae. The record is from Rfam by way of RNAcentral.